RNAcentral lists this transfer RNA (81 nucleotides) under Schistocerca americana (American grasshopper). RNAcentral describes it as "tRNA-Ser". It matches the Rfam family "tRNA". From Rfam's summary of the family: Transfer RNA (tRNA) molecules are approximately 80 nucleotides in length. Their secondary structure includes four short double-helical elements and three loops (D, anti-codon, and T loops). Further hydrogen bonds mediate the characteristic L-shaped molecular structure. tRNAs have two regions of fundamental functional importance: the anti-codon, which is responsible for specific mRNA codon recognition, and the 3' end, to which the tRNAs corresponding amino acid is attached (by aminoacyl-tRNA synthetases). tRNAs cope with the degeneracy of the genetic code in two manners: having more than one tRNA (with a specific anti-codon) for a particular amino acid; and 'wobble' base-pairing, i.e. permitting non-standard base-pairing at the 3rd anti-codon position. RNAcentral also lists the same sequence under 1 other name. Lineage: Eukaryota; Metazoa; Arthropoda; Insecta; Orthoptera; Acrididae. The record is from RNAcentral.
GCAGUCGUGGCCGAGUGGUUAAGGCGUCUGACUUGAAAUCAGAUUCCCUCUGGGAGCGUAGGUUCGAGUCUGCCGACUGCG